AUAGGUAGAGGCCGCAUUGCUUAAUAGUAUGUUACGGGAGGGUGACUCCAAGGAUCGUAAUAGAAAGGAAGUUUUGCCGAAACUAAGUAUGUCUAGUCAAGGAUGCUUAGUUGGGGUUAUUUUGAACAAGAAUAACACUGUCAUGUAUAUGGGGACAUAUAGAUGGGGAGCUACA
Molecule: non-coding RNA, 175 nt
Filed under: uncultured Psychrobacillus sp.
Lineage: Bacteria; Bacillati; Bacillota; Bacilli; Caryophanales; Bacillaceae
Description: Lysine riboswitch
Rfam family: Lysine riboswitch aptamer
About the family: Riboswitches are metabolite binding domains within certain messenger RNAs that serve as precision sensors for their corresponding targets. Allosteric rearrangement of mRNA structure is mediated by ligand binding, and this results in modulation of gene expression.
Source: RNAcentral